CGGACGGGUGAGUAACACGUGGAUAACCUACCUAUAAGACUGGGAUAACUUGGGAAACCGGAGCUAAUACCGGAUAAUAUAUUGAACCGCAUGGUUCAAUAGUGAAAGACGGUUUUGCUGUCACUUAUAGAUGGAUCCGCGCCGCAUUAGCUAGUUGGUAAGGUAACGGCUUACCAAGGCGACGAUGCGUAGCCGACCUGAGAGGGUGAUCGGCCACACUGGGACUGAGACACGGCCCAG
RNAcentral lists this ribosomal RNA (240 nucleotides) under uncultured Staphylococcus sp. Its description in RNAcentral is "partial 16S ribosomal RNA". It matches the Rfam family "Bacterial small subunit ribosomal RNA", at positions 99 to 334 of the family's 1533-position model. Lineage: Bacteria; Bacillati; Bacillota; Bacilli; Caryophanales; Staphylococcaceae. The record is from RNAcentral.